ACAAAUCAAAUUUAUAUCGAUGCGUACAUAAAAAUAUGCAUAUAAAAGUUAGUUUUUCUUAAGUAAAGGAGAUAUAGUUGUAAAGUCGAAACAAAUACGUUCGUAAAAAAUCGUGCCAAGUAGCACUAAUGCCACAACAGUUGCCAACGACCACCAACACCAGAAGAGCUCACGUAAAAUCGUUGAACCACGCACGCCCGUUGCGGCGUGUUAAUACGAAAAAAUAGACAUAAAUCUAAAACUUAGAAAAGAAUAACUAAGUCGAUCCAGGAUCCACGUGUUGCGACGAACUUGUCAACGAAGAAAAAUACACGUGUUGCGAUUGCCUGUCAAACGGGAAAAAACAGACGAAAAAACGUUGAAUCCUAUACGCACGUUGUGGCGUGUUGACUCGAAAAAUUUAUAACGAAACUUAAAACGAAAAACUUGUGAAAGAUAAAAAGUAUGGGGGAACAAAGUUGAAAAUAAAAAAGUGUUGGGGGUUAAAUU
Molecule: long non-coding RNA, 489 nt
Filed under: Helianthus annuus (common sunflower)
Lineage: Eukaryota; Viridiplantae; Streptophyta; Magnoliopsida; Asterales; Asteraceae
Source: RNAcentral